RNAcentral lists this ribosomal RNA (534 nucleotides) under uncultured bacterium. RNAcentral describes it as "bacterial SSU rRNA". It matches the Rfam family "Bacterial small subunit ribosomal RNA", at positions 977 to 1509 of the family's 1533-position model. The record is from RNAcentral.
GGCCUUGACAUACUAAGAACUUUCCAGAGAUGGAUUGGUGCCUUCGGGAACUUAGAUACAGGUGCUGCAUGGCUGUCGUCAGCUCGUGUCGUGAGAUGUUGGGUUAAGUCCCGCAACGAGCGCAACCCUUUUCCUUAUUUGCCAGCGGGUCAUGCCGGGAACUUUAAGGAUACUGCCAGUGACAAACUGGAGGAAGGCGGGGACGACGUCAAGUCAUCAUGGCCCUUACGGCCAGGGCUACACACGUGCUACAAUGGUCGGUACAAAGGGUUGCUACCUCGCGAGAGGAUGCUAAUCUCAAAAAGCCGAUCGUAGUCCGGAUCGCAGUCUGCAACUCGACUGCGUGAAGUCGGAAUCGCUAGUAAUCGCGGAUCAGAAUGCCGCGGUGAAUACGUUCCCGGGCCUUGUACACACCGCCCGUCACACCAUGGGAGUUUGUUGCACCAGAAGUAGGUAGUCUAACCGCAAGGAGGACGCUUACCACGGUGUGGCCGAUGACUGGGGGUGAAGUCGUAACAAGGUAAGCGUAGAUGA